ACGAGCGAGCACCUGCAUCCAAACAUCACCCCCCUCCCCUCCCCCCCGGGCAGGUAAACUACGCCAGGUGUGACCCAGGUAUACCCACGACCCCUGAUGCAACUCUCUCACACGUCACAGCUUCUCCCUACAGUGGAGGUGUUACGGGCGCCAGAGAUCAGGUUGGCCGGAGCAUCACUACUGCCUCCUGACCUCAAGACGACGACCACUAACCAGGGACUUAUCGCCGUGCUUCAGUGGAUGACGCUGCAGUCUCUCGUAGUACAGAGUGGGACAGGAGUGUUACGAAUCUGUUGUUCAUGACCACGAGAGAACACACCUGUUUACCGCAGCGCCUGACUCGCCUUCUCUCGUUACUGUGUCCACCAGUUUGUGAUAUGCAGCAGCCAAUCAGUUGCCGAAGCUCCCUUACUGAAGCGCCGCGACACGGCCAAAACAAGAGCUACGGAGCAAAACAUCUAGCUGAUUCUGUCGAUUCUGUAAGUAAAGUCCCCUCCA
This is a long non-coding RNA of Homarus americanus (American lobster), 498 nucleotides long. RefSeq lists it as uncharacterized. The record is from RefSeq and is a predicted model, not a curated record. The transcript is spliced from 4 exons. Lineage: Eukaryota; Metazoa; Arthropoda; Malacostraca; Decapoda; Nephropidae.